UGCCCAGCAACUCCUAUCCCUACCUCCUCGUGGUACUGGCCCGGGUACGAGUAACCUUAGGGAAGAUCGGGUAACCAACCCCGGUGAGUGCUUUGGUCGUAUGCUGAUAGGGAAGG
Aedes aegypti (yellow fever mosquito) is the source of this 116-nucleotide non-coding RNA. The record is from Rfam. NCBI's taxonomy places the organism in Eukaryota, Metazoa, Arthropoda, Insecta, Diptera, Culicidae.